RNAcentral lists this ribosomal RNA (253 nucleotides) under uncultured bacterium. RNAcentral describes it as "partial 16S ribosomal RNA". It matches the Rfam family "Bacterial small subunit ribosomal RNA", at positions 524 to 776 of the family's 1533-position model. The record is from RNAcentral.
UACGUAGGUGGCAAGCGUUAUCCGGAAUUAUUGGGCGUAAAGCGCGCGUAGGCGGUUUCUUAAGUCUGAUGUGAAAGCCCACGGCUCAACCGUGGAGGGUCAUUGGAAACUGGGGGACUUGAGUGCAGAAGAGGAAAGUGGAAUUCCAUGUGUAGCGGGGGAAUGCGCAGAGAUAUGGAGGGACACCAGUGGCGAAGGCGACUUUCUGGUCUGUAACUGACGCUGGUGUGCGAAAGCGUGGGGAUCAAACAGG